This 247-nucleotide unclassified non-coding RNA is filed under the name uncultured fungus. RNAcentral describes it as "partial contains 5.8S ribosomal RNA, internal transcribed spacer 2, and large subunit ribosomal RNA". The stretch from base 1 to 52 matches the Rfam family "5.8S ribosomal RNA", at positions 103 to 154 of the family's 154-position model. Lineage: Eukaryota; Fungi. The record is from RNAcentral.
AACGCACAUUGCGCCCCCUGGUAUUCCGGGGGGCAUGCCUGUCCGAGCGUCAUUGCAACCCUCAAGCGCGGCUUGCGUGUUGGGCGUCGUCCCCCGUGGACGCGCCCGAAAGGCAGUGGCGGUACCGUGCUCCGGUGCCCGAGCGUAUGGGCUUAAAACCCGCUCUUGUGGCCCGGCCGGCGCUGGCCUCGACCCCCAAAUUAUUCAGGUUGACCUCGGAUCAGGUAGGGAUACCCGCUGAACUUAA